UUUAACAACGCGCAACAAAAGCUGCAUUCAAUCGCUUCAAAUUCAAUCAGCACCAAAAUCGUUACCGCUUCCUGUGCCUCCCGGACCGACUGCGCAUGCGCUGCGCACAGCCCUAACCUCUUAAAGUGGCGUGACUUUGAGAAACGUUAUUCGCUUUUUAUCUUUUAUUGUCAGUAGUUAGUGGUUCUACGUAACGUUAGUGUCGCCUCUGUACACACACAGUCUAAGUUAUUUGCUGGAACUGACAAAAAAAUAUAAAAAUGGUUGAUGCAUUCCUUG
Leptinotarsa decemlineata (Colorado potato beetle) is the source of this 279-nucleotide long non-coding RNA. The record is from RefSeq and is a predicted model, not a curated record. NCBI's taxonomy places the organism in Eukaryota, Metazoa, Arthropoda, Insecta, Coleoptera, Chrysomelidae.